This 277-nucleotide long non-coding RNA is filed under the name Durio zibethinus. RNAcentral's name for it is "long non-coding RNA (DZIB_LNC000866)". Lineage: Eukaryota; Viridiplantae; Streptophyta; Magnoliopsida; Malvales; Malvaceae. The record is from RNAcentral.
UUCUCUCUCUAAAACAGAAUCCCCCAACCUCUCUCUAGCAACAUUCUCAGAUUCCUACGUGACUGCUCAUGUUGGCCACCGCAUGUCACUGCCGAUCGUCUUGCUCAGCCACAGGUCAAUUUGCGAUGAAGCACAAAUUUCACUUGGAAACUCACCUUGGUCCCCUUUUUAGCAUGAUCUGUUUAGUUUCUUCGGAAACUCGUUAUAUUGGCGUAGGUCUAAGAUCAAAGCCACGGUUUUCUCCCUUUUUUCCACAGCUCCAAUAGUUGUUGCCUCA